GAUGAACGCUAGCGGCAGGCUUAACACAUGCAAGUCGAGGGGUAUGUUUCUUCGGAGACAGAGACCGGCGCACGGGUGCGUAACGCGUAUGCAAUCUACCUUUUACAGAGGGAUAGCCCAGAGAAAUUUGGAUUAAUACCUCAUAGUAUAAUGACCUGGCAUCAGGAUGUUAUUAAAGUCACAACGGUAAAAGAUGAGCA
Molecule: ribosomal RNA, 200 nt
Filed under: uncultured bacterium
Lineage: Bacteria
Description: partial 16S ribosomal RNA
Rfam family: Bacterial small subunit ribosomal RNA
Source: RNAcentral